RNAcentral lists this unclassified non-coding RNA (257 nucleotides) under Hevea brasiliensis (rubber tree). Lineage: Eukaryota; Viridiplantae; Streptophyta; Magnoliopsida; Malpighiales; Euphorbiaceae. The record is from RNAcentral.
CCAUGCCAUAUCUCAUAAGGUGUGAAAGAUACUGAUUUUGAUGGAAUUCUAUUUAGAAUAUGCAAAGCUGAUUCUAAUGCAAAUCCCCAAAAGGAGAUUGACAUAUCAGUAUAGCUCAUCAUACUACGUACCAUAUCCAAUAUGGUACGAUUUCUCCUUUCAGAUAUACCAUUCAGCUGUGGUGUUCCUGGAGGAGUCAGUUGGGAAACAAUGCUAUGCUCUUUCAAGUAUUGAUCAAAUUCAGUACUCAAGUAUUC